RNAcentral lists this ribosomal RNA (497 nucleotides) under uncultured bacterium. RNAcentral describes it as "partial 16S ribosomal RNA". It matches the Rfam family "Bacterial small subunit ribosomal RNA", at positions 28 to 507 of the family's 1533-position model. The record is from RNAcentral.
GAUGAACGCUGGCGGCGUGCCUAAUACAUGCAAGUCGAGCGAACGGACGAGAAGCUUGCUUCUCUGAUGUUAGCGGCGGACGGGUGAGUAACACGUGGAUAACCUACCUAUAAGACUGGGAUAACUUCGGGAAACUGUAGCUAAUACCGGAUAAUAUUUUGAACCGCAUGGUUCAAAAGUGAAAGACGGUCUUGCUGUCACUUAUAGAUGGAUCCGCGCUGCAUUAGCUAGUUGGUAAGGUAACGGCUUACCAAGGCAACGAUGCAUAGCCGACCUGAGAGGGGGAUCGGCCACACUGGAACUGAGACACGGUCCAGACUCCUACGGGAGGCAGCAGUAGGGAAUCUUCCGCAAAGGGCGAAAGCCUGACGGAGCAACGCCGCGUGAGUGAUGAAGGUCUUCGGAUCGUAAAACUCUGUUAUUAGGGAAGAACAUAUGUGUAAGUAACUGUGCACAUCUUGACGGUACCUAAUCAGAAAGCCACGGCUAACUACGUG